AAAAUAUGAAGCUUUCGAUUUGUUAUUGAUAUCUUAAAUCGCGACACUGUUUGGUACAUCGAUUAGCAUGGUAUUGGCAAGCUGAUCAAGAUAAUAUUUACACAUUUACAAAUACUGUUCGCAUUUGGGCGAUAGACCGACCUUACGUUAUGGGCGUAUGUGGGCGUUAUAGUAGGCGAUCACCCCUGUUAUGUAUGUAAAAUACCUCGGUAGUUUAAAAUUUUUCACUAUAUUUGUUGAAAAACUAACGACGCCUACACUCAGAAAACUGAAGAACGAAUAAUUUAAGAACGAACGUUCUUAAAAAUGUACCGUGUCGUACUUAAAAUUUUUAAGACAACCGUUCUUGGAAUAAGUACUAGUUGUACUCGAAUUACACAUUUCAAAAGCGAUAUUAUUGAUACUCAUGGAAAACAAAGGUUUAUCUUUUCUCAUUUAUGUAUAUUCCUUGAUCAUUUUAUACGACCAAUUUUAAAAAAAUAUAAAAAAAAAAGAGAAGUUUUUUUAAAAAUUUAUGCGAUUGAAAAAUCUCCAGCCAUUCGACUUCUUACACUUGUUAAUAUCGAUUACAUUUCUGUGUUGUUAAAGAACCAUAUGUUUUUUCGAUAAUCGAUUGCAACACGGCGCUCAUUUAGUGUCAAAAAGUUCCUGGGGUAACAAGUAGAAAGUGAAUUAAGUGAAAUAAUUGAAGAAUAAUGUGAAAAUGGGCACGGUGUGCAGGUUAAAAAUCGACUUCUGGGAAAUAUACCCAGAGAAAGAGCAUGCAUUGGUUUUGAAAUAGGACGACCUGAAGCCUUUACGAUAGGAAGAUUAAAAACGAUCUC
Molecule: small RNA, 824 nt
Filed under: Drosophila yakuba
Lineage: Eukaryota; Metazoa; Arthropoda; Insecta; Diptera; Drosophilidae
Description: GE27454
Source: RNAcentral